GGGAAUGUAGCUCAGUGGUAGAGCACGUGCUUAGCAUGCACGAGGUCCUGGGUUCAAUCCUCAGUACCUCUA
This 72-nucleotide transfer RNA is filed under the name Camelus bactrianus (Bactrian camel). It matches the Rfam family "tRNA". Rfam says of the family: Transfer RNA (tRNA) molecules are approximately 80 nucleotides in length. Lineage: Eukaryota; Metazoa; Chordata; Mammalia; Artiodactyla; Camelidae. RNAcentral also lists the same sequence under 2 other names. The record is from Rfam by way of RNAcentral.